This 632-nucleotide ribosomal RNA is filed under the name uncultured bacterium. RNAcentral describes it as "bacterial SSU rRNA". The stretch from base 1 to 544 matches the Rfam family "Bacterial small subunit ribosomal RNA", at positions 338 to 873 of the family's 1533-position model. The record is from RNAcentral.
CCUACGGGAGGCAGCAGUGGGGAAUAUUGGACAAUGGGCGCAAGCCUGAUCCAGCCAUACCGCGUGGGUGAAGAAGGCCUUCGGGUUGUAAAGCCCUUUUGUUGGGAAAGAAAAGCAGUCGAUUAAUACUCGGUUGUUCUGACGGUACCCAAAGAAUAAGCACCGGCUAACUUCGUGCCAGCAGCCGCGGUAAUACGAAGGGUGCAAGCGUUACUCGGAAUUACUGGGCGUAAAGCGUGCGUAGGUGGUUGUUUAAGUCUGUUGUGAAAGCCCUGGGCUCAACCUGGGAAUUGCAGUGGAUACUGGGCGACUAGAGUGUGGUAGAGGGUAGUGGAAUUCCCGGUGUAGCAGUGAAAUGCGUAGAGAUCGGGAGGAACAUCCAUGGCGAAGGCAGCUACCUGGACCAACACUGACACUGAGGCACGAAAGCGUGGGGAGCAAACAGGAUUAGAUACCCUGGUAGUCCACGCCCUAAACGAUGCGAACUGGAUGUUGGGUGCAAUUUGGCACGCAGUAUCGAAGCUAACGCGUUAAGUUCGCCGCCUGGGGGAGGUACGGUCGUCGAGACGUUAGAACGUACGAAAGAAGUUAGACGGCGNGAGACGNGCGACGGACGACGACGAGGGAGGAGG